AAACGGAUGGGCCCUCGAAAUCCGUGGGCGGGGGAUUCAGUGGGAAGCGGCGGAAAGCCGUCGGUGGCGGUACCCGUUUUGCGGGACUCGCUCCGGCGGCGCUCCUCCGUCCGGCUCCUACGCAUUUCCACCCGCCCCGAGGACGCCGCAGCCGGUCGGGUAGCUGCGCGAGUCUGGCAUAAGGAGGAGCGACGGAAGGUGUCCGGCGGCGCGUCCGUCCGCAAGGGCGGGUUCGUCGUCGGUCGUUAUCCAGCUGCUCCGUGUCGAGACACCCGACCGAGGUCGAGGGGUCCGAGUUAGGACCCGGCCGCACCCUCUUUUUAGAGCGGGCGCUCCCGCAGGCUGGUGGUCCCGUUCGGUCGUCACUCCCCGAGUGGACCGAGGAGGGUUUCCGCCGCCGUUGGUGCGGAAGCGACCCGCGCACGGGUCGCAGGCGGCUUGCGGCGAGUAGGUCGGUCACCCACCCGACCCGUCUUGAAACACGGACCAAGGAGUCUAACAUGUGCGCGAGUCACGGGGUCUUGUUCAGGCCCGUGGUCGCAGUGAAAGUGAAGGGCGCCGAUGAUCGGUGGCCGCGUUGGGACUCUCCGCCGUCUCGGUCGGAGAAGCACCAACGACCCGUCCUGUCCGCCUCGCGCGGUUGGGCGGAGUGUGAGCGUACACGUUGGGACCCGAAAGAUGGUGAACUAUUCCUGGGCAGGACGAAGCCAGAGGAAACUCUGGUGGAGGUCCGUAGCGGUUCUGACGUGCAAAUCGAUCGUCAGACCUAGGUAUAGGGGCGAUAGACUAAUCGAACCAUCUAGUAGCUGGUUCCCUCCGAAGUUUCCCUCAGGAUAGCUGGCGCUCGGAGGAAUCAGUCUCAUGCGGUAAAGCGAAUGAUUAGAGGCCUUGGGGCCGAAACGACCUCAACCUAUUCUCAAACUUUAAAUGGGUGAGAAGUCCGGCUUGCGUGAAGGAAGCCCGGACGACGAGGAUGAGAGCGCCCAGUGGGCCACUUUUGGUAAGCAGAACUGGCGCUGUGGGAUGAACCAAACGCCGGGUUACGGCGCCCGAUGCGAGACGCUCACGAGACCCCAUGAAAGGUGUUGGUUGCUAUAGACAGCAGGGCGGUGGCCAUGGAAGUCGGAAUCCGCUAAGGAGUGUGUAACAACUCACCUGCCGAAGCAACUAGCCCUGAAAAUGGAUGGCGCUCCAGCGUCGAGCCCAUACCCGGCCGCUGCGGCAAUAGGAAUGAAGCUUAAGCCGCAGCGAGUAGGAGGGUCGCGGCGGCGAGCGUGGAAGGUGCCGGGCGCGAGCCCGCCUGGAGCCGCCGCCGGUGCAGAUCUUGGUGGUAGUAGCAAAUACUCAAGUGAGAACCUUGAGGACUGAGGUGGAGAAGGGUUCCAUGUGAACAGCAGUUGAACAUGGGUCAGUCGGUCCUAAGGGAUAGGAGAAAUCCUUUCCGAAGGUCGUUCUAAGCAGAGCGUGGGUGAACGGCCUUAGACCGAAAGGGAAUCGGGUCAAUAUUCCCGAACCUGGACACGGAGAUGGGUCCCUUCUUGGGGACCGAGUGCGGCGACGCAACCGAACUCGGAGAUGUCGACGGGAGUCCCGGGAAGAGUUGUCUUUUCUUUGUAAGGGUCCGGGUCCCUGGAAUCGGCUCGUCCGGAGAUAGGGAUGCUGGUCCCGUAAAGCACCGCGGCUCUUGCGGUGUCCGGAGCGCUGCCGUCGGCCCUUGAAAAUCCGAGGGAGGAAGUGUGAUUUUCGUGCCAGACCGUACCCAUAUCCGCAGCAGGUCUCCAAGGUGAAGAGCCUCUAGCCGAUAGAACA
This 1809-nucleotide ribosomal RNA is filed under the name Cethegus sp. MY2072. RNAcentral's name for it is "eukaryotic LSU rRNA". The stretch from base 486 to 1800 matches the Rfam family "Eukaryotic large subunit ribosomal RNA", at positions 665 to 1888 of the family's 3401-position model. The record is from RNAcentral. Lineage: Eukaryota; Metazoa; Arthropoda; Arachnida; Araneae; Euagridae.